GAUGAACGCUGGCGGCGUGCCUAAUACAUGCAAGUCGAGCGAACAGAUGAGGAGCUUGCUCCUCUGACGUUAGCGGCGGACGGGUGAGUAACACGUGGAUAACCUACCUAUAAGACUGGGAUAACUACGGGAAACCGGAGCUAAUACCGGAUAAUAUAUUGAACCGCAUGGUUCAAUAGUGAAAGACGGUUUUGCUGUCACUUAUAGAUGGAUCCGCGCCGCAUUAGCUAGUUGGUAAGGUAACGGCUUACCAAGGCAACGAUGCGUAGCCGACCUGAGAGGGUGAUCGGCCACACUGGAACUGAGACACGGUCCAGACUCCUACGGGAGGCAGCAGUAGGGAAUCUUCCGCAAUGGGCGAAAGCCUGACGGAGCAACGCCGCGUGAGUGAUGAAGGUCUUCGGAUCGUAAAACUCUGUUAUUAGGGAAGAAAAAAUGUGUAAGUAACUAUGCACGUCUUGACGGUACCUAAUCAGAAAGCCACGGCUAACUACGUGC
This 498-nucleotide ribosomal RNA is filed under the name uncultured bacterium. RNAcentral's name for it is "partial 16S ribosomal RNA". It matches the Rfam family "Bacterial small subunit ribosomal RNA", at positions 28 to 508 of the family's 1533-position model. The record is from RNAcentral.